UACGUAGGGUGCAAGCGUUGUCCGGAAUUAUUGGGCGUAAAGAGCUCGUAGGUGGUUCGGUAAGUCGGAUGUGAAAUCUCCAGGCUCAACCUGGAGGGGUCAUUCGAUACUGCCGUGACUAGAGGUCGGUAGGGGAGUGUGGAAUUCCUGGUGGAGCGGUGAAAUGCGCAGAUAUCAGGAGGAACACCCGUAGCGAAGGCGGCACUCUGGGCCGAUACUGACACUGAGGAGCGAGAGCGUGGGGAGCGAACAGG
RNAcentral lists this ribosomal RNA (254 nucleotides) under uncultured bacterium. Its description in RNAcentral is "partial 16S ribosomal RNA". It matches the Rfam family "Bacterial small subunit ribosomal RNA", at positions 524 to 776 of the family's 1533-position model. The record is from RNAcentral.